UAAGGAAUAUUGCUCAAUGGGAGAAAUCCUGAAGCAGCAACGCCGCGUGGAGGAUGAAGGGCUUUCAGCUUGUAAACUCCUGUAAAGAAGGAAAAAAUUCCCAUUAGAUGGGAAAUGAUGGUACUUCUAAAGUAAGCCCCGGCUAACUACGUGCCAGCAGCCGCGGUAAUACGUAGGGGGCAAGCGUUGUCCGGAUUUACUGGGUGUAAAGGGUGCUCAGGCGGAUUUGUAAGUCAGAGGUGAAAUCUCACAGCUUAACUGUGAAACUGCCUUUGAUACUGCAAGCCUAGAGUACGGAAGAGGUUGAUGGAAUAUCUGGUGUAGCAGUGAAAUGCGUAGAUAUCAGAUAGAACACCAAUGGCGAAGGCAGUCAACUGGUCCGUUACUGACGCUAAAGCACGAAAGUGUGGGGAGCGAACA
This 420-nucleotide ribosomal RNA is filed under the name uncultured prokaryote. RNAcentral's name for it is "bacterial SSU rRNA". It matches the Rfam family "Bacterial small subunit ribosomal RNA", at positions 355 to 774 of the family's 1533-position model. The record is from RNAcentral.